GGGUUAGUAGGUUGGUCAUGCCUCUGGUAUGUACUGGUCUCACUGAUUCCUCCUUCCUGAUGAACCUUAAUGCCAUUAAUUUGGUGUUUUGGGGAAUUUGGACUGUUACUUUGAAAAAAUUAGAGUGUUUAAAGCAGGCGCACGCUUGAAUACAUUAGCAUGGAAUAAUGAAAUAGGACGUUUGAUUCUAUUUUGUUGGUUUCUAGGAUCGACGUAAUGAUUAAUAGGGAUAGUUGGG
Molecule: ribosomal RNA, 238 nt
Filed under: uncultured Glomeromycotina
Lineage: Eukaryota; Fungi; Glomeromycota
Description: partial small subunit ribosomal RNA
Rfam family: Eukaryotic small subunit ribosomal RNA (bases 38-238)
Source: RNAcentral